This 2137-nucleotide ribosomal RNA is filed under the name Escherichia coli DEC4D. RNAcentral's name for it is "bacterial LSU rRNA". It matches the Rfam family "Bacterial large subunit ribosomal RNA", at positions 1 to 2167 of the family's 2925-position model. The record is from RNAcentral. Lineage: Bacteria; Pseudomonadati; Pseudomonadota; Gammaproteobacteria; Enterobacterales; Enterobacteriaceae.
UUAAGCGACUAAGCGUACACGGUGGAUGCCCUGGCAGUCAGAGGCGAUGAAGGACGUGCUAAUCUGCGAUAAGCGUCGGUAAGGUGAUAUGAACCGUUAUAACCGGCGAUUUCCGAAUGGGGAAACCCAGUGUGAUUCGUCACACUAUCAUUAACUGAAUCCAUAGGUUAAUGAGGCGAACCGGGGGAACUGAAACAUCUAAGUACCCCGAGGAAAAGAAAUCAACCGAGAUUCCCCCAGUAGCGGCGAGCGAACGGGGAGGAGCCAGAGCCUGAAUCAGUGUGUGUGUUAGUGGAAGCGUCUGGAAAGGCGCGCGAUACAGGGUGACAGCCCCGUACACAAAAAUGCACAUGCUGUGAGCUCGAUGAGUAGGGCGGGACACGUGGUAUCCUGUCUGAAUAUGGGGGGACCAUCCUCCAAGGCUAAAUACUCCUGACUGACCGAUAGUGAACCAGUACCGUGAGGGAAAGGCGAAAAGAACCCCGGCGAGGGGAGUGAAAAAGAACCUGAAACCGUGUACGUACAAGCAGUGGGAGCACAGAGCAAUCUGUGUGACUGCGUACCUUUUGUAUAAUGGGUCAGCGACUUAUAUUCUGUAGCAAGGUUAACCGAAUAGGGGAGCCGAAGGGAAACCGAGUCUUAACCGGGCGUUAAGUUGCAGGGUAUAGACCCGAAACCCGGUGAUCUAGCCAUGGGCAGGUUGAAGGUUGGGUAACACUAACUGGAGGACCGAACCGACUAAUGUUGAAAAUUAGCGGAUGACUUGUGGCUGGGGGUGAAAGGCCAAUCAAACCGGGAGAUAGCUGGUUCUCCCCGAAAGCUAUUUAGGUAGCGCCUCGUGAAUUCAUCUCCGGGGGUAGAGCACUGUUUCGGCAAGGGGGGUCAUCCCGACUUACCAACCCGAUGCAAACUGCGAAUACCGGAGAAUGUUAUCACGGGAGACACACGGCGGGUGCUAACGUCCGUCGUGAAGAGGGAAACAACCCAGACCGCCAGCUAAGGUCCCAAAGUCAUGGUUAAGUGGGAAACGAUGUGGAAGGCCCAGACAGCCAGGAUGUUGGCUUAGAAGCAGCCAUCAUUUAAAGAAAGCGUAAUAGCUCACUGGUCGAGUCGGCCUGCGCGGAAGAUGUAACGGGGCUAAACCAUGCACCGAAGCUGCGGCAGCGACACUGUGUGUUGUUGGGUAGGGGAGCGUUCUGUAAGCCUGUGAAGGUGUGCUGUGAGGCAUGCUGGAGGUAUCAGAAGUGCGAAUGCUGACAUAAGUAACGAUAAAGCGGGUGAAAAGCCCGCUCGCCGGAAGACCAAGGGUUCCUGUCCAACGUUAAUCGGGGCAGGGUGAGUCGACCCCUAAGGCGAGGCCGAAAGGCGUAGUCGAUGGGAAACAGGUUAAUAUUCCUGUACUUGGUGUUACUGCGAAGGGGGACGGAGAAGGCUAUGUUGGCCGGGCGACGGUUGUCCCGGUUUAAGCGUGUAGGCUGGUUUUCCAGGCAAAUCCGGAAAAUCAAGGCUGAGGCGUGAUGACGAGGCACUACGGUGCUGAAGCAACAAAUGCCCUGCUUCCAGGAAAAGCCUCUAAGCAUCAGGUAACAUCAAAUCGUACCCCAAACCGACACAGGUGGUCAGGUAGAGAAUACCAAGGCGCUUGAGAGAACUCGGGUGAAGGAACUAGGCAAAAUGGUGCCGUAACUUCGGGAGAAGGCACGCUGAUAUGUAGGUGAAGUCCCUCGCGGAUGGAGCUGAAAUCAGUCGAAGAUACCAGCUGGCUGCAACUGUUUAUUAAAAACACAGCACUGUGCAAACACGAAAGUGGACGUAUACGGUGUGACGCCUGCCCGGUGCCGGAAGGUUAAUUGAUGGGGUCAGCGCAAGCGAAGCUCUUGAUCGAAGCCCCGGUAAACGGCGGCCGUAACUAUAACGGUCCUAAGGUAGCGAAAUUCCUUGUCGGGUAAGUUCCGACCUGCACGAAUGGCGUAAUGAUGGCCAGGCUGUCUCCACCCGAGACUCAGUGAAAUUGAACUCGCUGUGAAGAUGCAGUGUACCCGCGGCAAGACGGAAAGACCCCGUGAACCUUUACUAUAGCUUGACACUGAACAUUGAGCCUUGAUGUGUAGGAUAGGUGGGAGGCUUUGAAGUGUGG